GAUGACACCAAGUUGUCUUUCAAUCCAAUGCUACUUUAAAGCAGCCAAAAUCCUCUCCCAGAAAUGACCCUCUUCUAUAAAACUGUCUGCAAGCAGUUACACUGGAAAAGGAGUUCUGUCCAUGGGAGACUGGAGAGUCCAUCAGAAAAUAUUGCAGUCGGGAAAGGACUAGCUACAAUUCUACAUUUAUUUUAAAAAACUCCGCGGGACUCUUUGCCAGUGAAGGGCGGCCAUAGACUUUGAAAGGAGGAAAUGAAGAGUUUAAACUAAUAUUUGUGGACAUUCCAUAGAAGAGAGUUGGACUUGUUAAUGAGUUCAAAGCGAGGGCCAGAAGAGCAAGCAGAAUUCCGGCAUAUUGCAAUCCCAGCAGACAUUGU
Molecule: long non-coding RNA, 377 nt
Organism: Chelonia mydas (Green sea turtle)
Lineage: Eukaryota; Metazoa; Chordata; Testudines; Cheloniidae
Exons: 3
Source: RefSeq, a predicted model, not a curated record